This 436-nucleotide ribosomal RNA is filed under the name uncultured Bacteroidota bacterium. Its description in RNAcentral is "bacterial SSU rRNA". It matches the Rfam family "Bacterial small subunit ribosomal RNA", at positions 1077 to 1525 of the family's 1533-position model. The record is from RNAcentral. Lineage: Bacteria; Pseudomonadati; Bacteroidota.
UGGGUAGUCCGCACGAGCGCACCCUAUGUUUAGUUGCCAGCAUGUAAUGGUGGGGACUCUAAACAGACUGCCUGUGCAAACAGAGAGGAAGGAGGGGACGACGUCAAGUCAUCAUGGCCCUUACGUCCGGGGCUACACACGUGCUACAAUGGAUGGUACAGAGGGCCGCUACCUGGUAACAGGAUGCCAAUCUCAAAAAGCCAUUCACAGUUCGGAUAGAGGUCUGCAACUCGACCUCUUGAAGUUGGAUUCGCUAGUAAUCGCAUAUCAGCAAUGAUGCGGUGAAUACGUUCCCGGGCCUUGUACACACCGCCCGUCAAGCCAUGGAAGUUGGGGGUACCUGAAGUACGUAACCGCAAGGAGCGUCCUAGGGUAAAGCCGAUAACUGGGGCUAAGUCGUAACAAGGUAGCCGUACCGGAAGGUGCGGCUGGAAUA